UGCUUGAAAGGCGCUGGACAAAAUUUUACUUAAGUUCAAAAGUUCACACCAGCUCGCUCUCUCUCUAACAUUCUCUCUCGCGACCUUUUCAGAAAACCCUCCCUCUCUCUCAACUCCCUUUCUCAUCUCUGAAACAGCAUCUCCAUGCCACCGUCUUGGUCAUUGAGCUUGUUAUCUAGGUCACAGAUCUCACCGUCCAGUUCACUGAGGUGGCCAUAUCCUUGCUUCCAUGUCACUGAGGUCGCCAAAAGUAUCGCCUCCACGAUUUUCACGAGGAGCAAGAAGCCCUUGCCAACCGCAUGAACAACAUCAAGCGCAAUCUCCUCCCUCACGUCGUCGAGGUCAGCAACCAUCUCCUUGCGCAGUCGUGGUCAAUGAGGGUUUUAGGGAUUUGGGCCGAACCUUUGAUUCAAACAAGACACUGGGCUCUCCAUGUAACAUCCAAUCAAUUCUAACUUUUGAAACAGAUCAAUCCGUAGUGUUUGCUAGUCAUGUCCAUGCCUGCGAACGCUUUCAUGACAGAUGCCAAUCAGUGUGAAGGUAGCUAGUUCAAGGGAAGGGGGCUUGAGGAAAUAGUCUCAAGAAGAGUUUAUCAGCAAGAACUACAUUUGAUGCAUCUGAAGGGUGAGUGAAGUUUGCAUUUCUCCAAUUCUAUGGUUGUGUUGUGUUUCUCUUAUUGGUAGGUAGGUGGAUUUUAGAUUUCUAGUUUGUUUUUUUGUUUUUAAGGAAUGUAAGUGUUUGUAACUCUUUGAUGAGAUCAGAAUAACGGAUGCUUCUUGAUUACCUGUCUAGGUCCAUUCUUUUUUGCAAUUAUUUAGUGUUGGAUAAUAUGUUGUUGUUGGACAAAAGACCAAGCACUUGAUAUUUUACCCGUAGCCCAUCUUGUCUCUUAUAUGUUUUAAGCAACAAAUGCAACAGCCAAAAUGAAAUGCAUGCUCUCAUAUGUCAUUGUUGUUGGCAAGUAUAGAGCCAUCUAGUGCAUAUUCAAGAUAUGCGAAAGUAAGUACCUUGCUUGGUUGCUUAAAUUAAUGAAUUUGACUUCCUAAUGAGAUGCAUGCUAAUUUCUCAACAAUCCAUGCUCAAAUGGAAACAUUUGGUCUUUUCUCCAUGUUUACAAAUAUCCAAAAAUAGCCUAUUUGAGUUGCUGAUUGCAGGUAGUCGCUAAUAUACCCUUUAAUAUAAGUACAAAUGUAGUCAGACAACUUCUUCCAAUGGGUGAAAUCUUUUCUGAAGUAGUACUCUUACUCCAGGUUGGCAUUAUUCUAUUGUUCUAUGAUUCUCAUUGUUUCAAGUUAAGUAAUUAUAUUAUGUAGCCCUGUAUUAAUAAUCCUUUCAUUAUUGGUAAUGUUAUAUGGAUUGUAUAUCUCACUAUUACAUUAUUUUGGCUUGUUAAGCAAUUUCCUAUGCCAUGGAAGUGGUUCGAACGAAGCUACUCCUAGCUUGGGGGAAGUAGUGUUGGUUCAAGCUGCUGUUAGUGGUAAAAGUGGAAGAAAUGCAAAGGAAAAUUGGUGAUGAUGAAGGCAUAGCUUUGUAUGCAUAUGGAGAACUUGACUUGAAGGAUAAUUAGGUAUAGGAAUUUUGGUGUAUUAUUGUAAUUAGGCUUG
Non-coding RNA from Prunus avium (sweet cherry), 1604 nucleotides. NCBI's taxonomy places the organism in Eukaryota, Viridiplantae, Streptophyta, Magnoliopsida, Rosales, Rosaceae. The record is from RefSeq and is a predicted model, not a curated record.